CGGGACGGGGUGGAGUAAUGUCUGGGAAACUGCCUGAUGGAGGGGGGUAACUACUGGAAACGGUAGCUAAUACCGCAUAACGUCGCAAGACCAAAGAGGGGGACCUUCGGGCCUCUUGCCAUCGGAUGUGCCCAGAUGGGAUUAGCUAGUGGGUGGGGUAACGGCUCACCUAGGCGACGAUCCCUAGCUGGUCUGAGAGGAUGACCAGCCACACUGGAACUGAGACACGGUCCAG
This 235-nucleotide ribosomal RNA is filed under the name uncultured bacterium. RNAcentral describes it as "partial 16S ribosomal RNA". It matches the Rfam family "Bacterial small subunit ribosomal RNA", at positions 104 to 334 of the family's 1533-position model. The record is from RNAcentral.